This 489-nucleotide ribosomal RNA is filed under the name Melaloncha trita. RNAcentral's name for it is "partial 16S ribosomal RNA". The record is from RNAcentral. Lineage: Eukaryota; Metazoa; Arthropoda; Insecta; Diptera; Phoridae.
GUUUAUCAAAAACAUGUCUUUUUGAAUUUAAUUUAAAGUCUAACCUGCCCACUGAAAUUUUAAAUGGCCGCAGUAUUUUAACUGUGCAAAGGUAGCAUAAUCAUUAGUCUUUUAAUUGAAGGCUGGAAUGAAUGGUUGAAUGAAAUAUUAACUGUUUCAUAUAAAUUAAAAAUAGAAUUUUAUUUUUUAGUUAAAAAGCUAAAAUUUUAUUAAAAGACGAGAAGACCCUAUAAAUCUUUAUAUUUAAUUUUAUAAUUUUUAUGUAGAUAAAUUAAAUUUUUAUAUAAUUAAGUAUUUUAUUGGGGUGAUAUUAAAAUUUAAAAAACUUUUAAUUUAAAAUUAACAAAAAUUCUUGAAUUAUUGAUCCAUAAAUUAUGAUUAAAAAAAUAAGUUACUUUAGGGAUAACAGCGUAAUUUUUUUAGAGAGUUCAUAUUAAUAAAAAAGUUUGCGACCUCGAUGUUGGAUUAAGAUAAAAUUUAGGUGAAGAA